UGGGGAAUUUUGGACAAUGGGGGCAACCCUGAUCCAGCCAUGCCGCGUGCGGGAAGAAGGCCUUCGGGUUGUAAACCGCUUUUGUCAGGGAAGAAAUCCCUUGAGCUAAUACCUCGGGGGGAUGACGGUACCUGAGGAAUAAGCACCGGCUAACUACGUGCCAGCAGCCGCGGUAAUACGUAGGGUGCAAGCGUUAAUCGGAAUUACUGGGCGUAAAGCGUGCGCAGGCGGUCGUGCAAGACAGAUGUGAAAUCCCCGGGCUCAACCUGGGAACUGCAUUUGUGACUGCACGGCUGGAGUGCGGCAGAGGGGGAUGGAAUUCCGCGUGUAGCAGUGAAAUGCGUAGAUAUGCGGAGGAACACCGAUGGCGAAGGCAAUCCCCUGGGCCUGCACUGACGCUCAUGCACGAAAGCGUGGGGAGCAAACAGGAUUAGAUACCCUGGUAGUCCACGCCCUAAACGAUGUCAACUGGUUGUUGGGAAGGUUCCUUCUCAGUAACGUAGCUAACGCGUGAAGUUGACCGCCUGGGGAGUACGGCCGCAAGGUUGA
RNAcentral lists this ribosomal RNA (549 nucleotides) under uncultured Burkholderiales bacterium. Its description in RNAcentral is "bacterial SSU rRNA". It matches the Rfam family "Bacterial small subunit ribosomal RNA", at positions 355 to 897 of the family's 1533-position model. The record is from RNAcentral. Lineage: Bacteria; Pseudomonadati; Pseudomonadota; Betaproteobacteria; Burkholderiales.